Molecule: ribosomal RNA, 253 nt
Filed under: uncultured bacterium
Lineage: Bacteria
Description: partial 16S ribosomal RNA
Rfam family: Bacterial small subunit ribosomal RNA
Source: RNAcentral
GACGUAGGAGGCGAGCGUUAUCCGGAUUCACUGGGCGUAAAGCGCAUGUAGGCGGUUGUGUAAGUCCGAUGUUAAAGCCCCUGGCUCAACUGGGGGAGGUCAUUGGAGACUACUCGACUUGAGGGCAACAGAGGCACGUGGAACUCCCGGUGUAGCGGCGGAAUGCGUAGAGAUCGGGAAGAACACCAGUGGCGAAGGCGACGUGCUGGGUUGCAACUGACGCUGAGAUGCGAAAGUGUGGGGAGCAAACGGG